UGGAUCCGACCCGGGUCCUCUGACAUUGAAUAUGUGAAUAAAAACAUCCAUUUUUGUUUUCUUUUCUCGCGAUCAUCGGCUCCUGUGAUUUCCUGGAAAACAAGCUUUGGAGCUGCGGAUUUGUUCCGUCUGAGUGAAAACAUGAUACAUUUCGUGCUUCUAGUCAGCCGGCAAGGAAAGGUGAGGCUCACCAAAUGGUAUUCGCCCUAUACGCAGAAGGAAAGAUCUAAGGUUAUACGUGAACUGAGUGGAGUAAUCCUGAACCGAGGUCCCAAGCUCUGCAAUUUUAUCGAAUGGAGAGGAUACAAGGUGGUCUACAAAAGAUAUGCAAGCUUGUACUUCUGCAUGUGCGUUGAUCAGGACGACAAUGAGUUGGAGAUCCUCGAGAUAAUCCAUCACUACGUUGAGAUACUCGACCGCUAUUUUGGUAGUGUGUGUGAACUGGAUUUGAUUUUUAACUUUCACAAGGCGUAUUAUAUACUGGACGAGCUCUUGAUUGCCGGCGAACUUCAAGAGUCGAGCAAGAAAACAGUAGCGAGGAUUAUAUCCGCUCAGGAUCAAUUGGUGGAGGCUGCGAAAGAGGAGGCGAGUUCGAUAAGUAAUAUAAUUGCGCAGGCUACCAAAUAGUUUCUCCCUUCUUUGCUCUUGUCUGCCUUGCUCUCGAAGAACGACUCUUUAAGAGGGCAGGGAGAGGACAUAACUCGUUGUUCCAUGCCAUUGGAACUUGUCUGGUUCUCUCCUGAUGAUGUUCAAACCGACAGCAUGUGUUGGCGAUCACUCUGAACUUCAUGAUUCGAAUUUGGGUAUCCAUCAACGGAUUAGGAGGCGAGGGGCGAGCGGUGAGAACGAGAGGAGGGACGGGCGAUGAGGACGAGACAGGCGGCGAGAGGCAAGGGCCAUAGCAAAGAUGUCGAUUGUAGGUAUUGUUGGGCAAAUAAACCCAAAUCAACGCGCUUGCCGUCCAACCCUUUGCUCCUCUCUCGUCCUGUCUCGGCUUCAACGCCAUCGUUUCGCCCCCUCGUUUUACCCUUCGAUUCUUCCUCGUGGUUCAGAUGAUUUGUAGAUAUCUCAAGCAUUUGUAAUAUCCAUAAUACGGAUGUCGAGAGUCAAAUGGUGUGAGAAAGUACAAAAUAUUUCCACAGCCACGGUUCGACUCCAUUCUACACAUCAUCA
Tarenaya hassleriana is the source of this 1173-nucleotide RNA transcript. It is a transcript of the gene named AP-1 complex subunit sigma-1, with no coding region annotated. NCBI's taxonomy places the organism in Eukaryota, Viridiplantae, Streptophyta, Magnoliopsida, Brassicales, Cleomaceae. The record is from RefSeq and is a predicted model, not a curated record. The transcript has 10 exons.